CCGAAGAAUGGAGAGUCUAUUAUUUUAAAAGCAUAGGAACAAUUUAGUUAUUACAUAGCAUAGGGAUAGACCGCAUUGCGGUUUUCCCUAAUUUGUCUUUAAUAAAAACUGGUAAAAUAAAAGCAGGAGGUGUUUUCAAGUACAUAAUGUUAUCUUCCUCCGUUGAUAUAUGUUGUCUGGUGCUUCCAUACUUGGCCAAGGUGUCUGCUACAGUGUUGCCUUCUCGGUACACAUGCGUCAUUUCUGCCACUCCAAUAGCAUCAAGAAGAAAACUGCAGUCAUGAAGAAGAUGUGGGUAGAGAAGUUGUUCGUCUUUAAAUAAGUUACAUAAUACCUGUGAAUUUGUUUCCACUACAGUGGGAAAGAGAUUUUUUGUGAAGGAUAGAUCUAGUUCAAUCAUUAGUGCUAGCAGUUCAGUGUGGAGAGCGUCUGUUGUAGCUUCCUUGUGCGCAAAUCCUACUAUCCAAUUGUCAUAUAUUAUGGUCUCUGAUGAUUACACCAGUACCACUAUUUUGAUUAUUUUGAUCAUAAGCUCUAUCAAUGUUUAGCUUGUAAUGGUUAGUAGGUGGGUGCCAUCUUAUUGGUAUGUGAAACUUAGGUUUUGGGUUCGCAGUGAUUUGUGCGAUUGAGAUGAACUCAGCAACUUGGGUCUUAAGUUUGGUUUGGAAAGUGAUUGAGGUUGUGUGGUAAAAUAGGUUAGAGUUCCUAUUAAGCCAAGUGUUCCACAGUAUGAAAGGUAUUAAAGUGGAGUUUGGGGUUUUGAUGGAGGCAUUUGUUGUGUUGGUGAUAGUGUCUUUGAUACACAUAUCCUUUAACCAGUGGUCAAAGUUGUGUGUUUGUGGUUUUUGGAGAUUGAACAAAGUCCAUAAGUGGUAUGAAUUUUUUCACGAGAAGAAGAUGUGGUAUAUGUCUUCUGCUUCUGUCGGACAGAAUUGGCAAAGGUUACUUUGGAGUAUAUUUGUUUUUAAUAGGAAUUCUUUGGUAGGUAACUUGUGGUGCACAAGUAACUACAUGAAGUAUUUCAGCUUGUUCAAAUACUUGAGUUGCUAGAUCCAAGUGUUAAUGGUGGUAAUUGGUGGCAUUAUUAGGUUAUUGAUUUGUCGUUGUAGUAGGUAGGUUGAAUUUGUGGUAAAGUUUUCAAGGGGUUGUUUGGUUCCAGAGGGAUUGAUCAGGUUUUUGUAAGAAAGGGAUGUAGAUCUUGUUGCUUUUGUGUACGGUAUCAGGGUGUAGUGGUAUGAAAGAGCAGGUUUUGCGUCGAGUGUGUCUACUCGUCUAUGUUGGACGUAUUUUGCUUGCAGAAGUUUUACCCAGAGUGAUUGAUUGUUCUUAUGGAAACGCCAAAGUAGUCCUGCUAGCGUUGCAUAAUUCUUUUCACUGGUUUUAUAAAGCCCUAGUCCUCCGAGCUCUUUCGGAGUAGUUAUAGUCUCCCAAUUAACAAGGUGGACUUUUCUUUUUUCUGUAGCUGAACCCCACAGGAAGUUUCGUUGGAUACGAUCUAUGUGGUUCCUAGUAGAGAUUGGCAGUAGGUUAUUUUGCAUGGAAUAGUUUGGAAUUGUGGCUAGUAUAGAGUGUAUGAGGGUAGUUCUACAUGCCAUGUUGAGAGUUUUGCUUUCCAUCCUGUGAGCUUGUUAUUCAUUUUAUUAAUUAUGAAUUGAUAGUCUUUGCCUUUGGGGGAAUUGUUAGUUAGGUGGAAUCCCAGGAAUUUACCAAAGUUGGUAGCCUUGCGGAUGUUUAGGGCACUGGUAAGGCACUCUUGAGUGGCGAGCGACACAUUUUUGGAGAAAAUAAGUUUUGAUUUAGAGAAAUUAAUUUUUUGCCCUGAUUGGAGGUGGAGAGAGUUGAAUAUAUUAAUGAUAGUGUUGGCAUUGUGUAGGUCAGCACGAGCGAAUAGUAUAAGGUCAUCCGCAAAUAGCAGGUGACACUACAAGAAAGUAUGGAAUUUGCAACAACAUUUUAGUAACAACUGAAAUAUUAUUGGCUAAAAUGGAUAAAUGGGAACAACCCGGUAAAUUUGUUGCUGUAGCAUAGACUUUUUGGCAACAAAACUUUAUUGUUGGCAAACGUGUUAAUGUUGUCGCCAUAUUCUAUGGUUUAAAUAAUAAACUUUAAAUUUUUAAAAAUGGCCACUAAGUUAUGGCAACAACUAUGGUAUUGUUGCUGAAGUUUAAUAAAUGGCAACAACUAAUUUUUGGUGUUACAAAAAAUAGAACUUUUAACAUAAUAAAUUUAAAAUAUAAACAGAAUUGGCAACAAUGAAAUCUAUUUGUUGGUAUACAUAUUAUUAUGCCAAUAAGGUGCGUGGGUUGUGGCCUAAAACAUUCUAAUUUUCCGCCAAAAUGAAACGCGGCAAACUUUCGCUCUUUAAUAACUUUUCCCAAAAUUUUAGUGCACUCUCUAAUAACCAUUCUGCCUAGGGUUUUUAUUAUCAGCUAUUCUUGAACGAGCUCCUUCUCUGUUGCGUCCUCCUUGUUGCAUCGUAUUGUUGCUGAUUGGAGAAGAACCGGUAAGAACUCUAUCUUCAAUUACUUUACCCGAUUAUUGCUUCACCGAAUUAUGAAAAUACCGUUUUGAUUGCCUUUAUUGUUGAAGUACUUAGUUGGGUAUGGUGGCAAUCUUAAAUUGUGAUAUUCCAGAAUACUAUAUAUAACUUUUCUCCUCUAAUUUCUUAUAAGAAAGAAACUUUGCAUAAAAAAUGUUUUUUGUUGGGAUUGUUUGAGAAAUCCUAUUAAGAUUGAAGAAGCAUCUAAAUAUUCCACACUAGAUAAACUGAAGCAACAGUUCCUUUUUCUUCCUGCUAAGUAUAAGGUUAGUUCUUUAGUGAAAAGUUUCUCUUUUAAGUUUGUUGGGAGAAAGCAAGCCAAGUGGAAAGCAUUGUAUCCAGCAAUUGGCUUAUAAUGAUGUUCCAUGUAAAUUACAUCUUGUUGAUGACAAUCGAUGAAUUUGAAUAUAUAUUCAUAAGCGCCGAAGGUAUUCAGAGAAAGUGUAUUAUUACUACAUAACACUAUUUGUGUUGAUGUGCUCUCAUAAUAAUCAUAAUUAUAUGGCUUAAAGAUGUGGGAGUUUUGACAUUGUGACACCCCUAGAAUAUGUUUUGAAAGUCUUAACAUGUUUGGCAUAUUGGAUAUAGGGAAUUGUAACAUAUUGGCGUGAUAGUCUAACAAUACACCUGCAGAUAAAAAGAUUUUCUAAAAGUGAAAGGAGGUGUUUGUAAGAGUGACAUGUAGCUAUAAACUCUUAGUUGAGAUUUUGUAGGACUAGUACUUAAUGUGAAAAGUAGCCAGGUGUAAGCAAGAAACUUUCUUGCUAAGAAAUAAGAAUGUUAAAAAGUGGUGAUUAUUAUUAAAAGAUUAGGAAAAUAGAGGCCUUAGUUGAGAGAGCACUUACAACAUUUUAUUAUGAUGGGACCUAAUAGUCUGGUGGGGUAGUAGUAUUUUCUGGUUACACCUAAUAGUCUGGAGGAGAAGAAAUAGUUCUUGUUUUAAGUCAACUGAUUCAAAGUAACAUAAUCCAACUGACGCAAAGUUCAGACCUCAUAGAGGGCUUAUCGCAGUUAAGACUGCACCGACAUGUGCUGUUAAAAAACCUAUUUUCGCACAUUUGAUCUCUUUUCUCUAAUAAGUAUGCAAAUAAUCAAGCAAGUCAUUGUAUUCGUGAUCUCUGGUAUGGGGUUUCUUAAUUAAUUCUUGGUUUUGGUUCUUGACUUUUAUGGACUUUUUAUUCUCUGUUUCAACUUAGUGUGUAUCCAAAUUAAUGCUUUGUGGUUUUUGAUAUAUUUUUUUAAAUCUUUUCCUUUGGUUCAAAUUUUGAUCGUUUUGCUAUAUGAAGUUUGUGCAUGCAUCUUAAUGUUUCUAAAUUAAACAUAUCUUGUUAUUAGUUUGUUUCUGGUUAAGUUCAGUUUGACAUUAUACUGAAAGAUUUUGACUGCAAAUUGGACAAUCUUGCAAUAGUUAGUGGUGUUGAAUCUGGUAAGCUAAUUCAUUCGUGGGAUUCUACUUGUUGCUAUUACUUCUUUUCAUCUUUUCUUUAGCUCGAGAGUCUAUCGGAAACAACCUCUCUAUCCUUCCAGUGUAGGGGUAAAACUGCGUACAUCUUACUCUCCCCAGAUCCAAAGCCUUAUGUUUCUAAGCAUUUCUCAAUCAUUUGUUUCUGAUAUAAUAGACAAUAAAAAAUAGAAAGAAGGUUAAUCAUAUAGUUUUACUUUUUUAUUUUAUUGUAGGUAAUUAGAUGAUGGAUAAGAGCUGGAUAUUCAUCAAGAAUAGGACGUUACCUCAAUACUUGAAUGGUGUGGAAUAUUUUUUAAACUUUGCAUUUUCUAAUCCUAAUGUUGGUGUAAGAAUCCAAUGCCCAUGUAUUAAGUGUAAUAAUGUUCUUUGGAAAACACGAGAAGAAGUGAAGACAGAUUUACUUAGGCGAGGAAUUGAUUCAACAUAUGAUAGGUGGAUUUAUCAUGGUGAGCUGGAUUCAUCUUCGGAUGAUGGAACAAAUGCUAGUAUAAAUUCAGAUAUAGGAAAUGAUGAUGCUUCCACUUUUGAAAUGUUACAUGACUUGUAUCAUGGUAUUCCCACUAAUAGUCAUGAGUUUGAUGAGAACAAUGAGUUUAGUUGCGAAGAGCCUAAUACAUAAGCUAAAAUUUUCUAUAGGUUAUUAAAAGAUGCAGAGCAAAAGCUAUAUCCUGAUUGUGAAAAGUUCUCCAAACUCUCUUUUGUAAUGCGUCUUUUUCAAAUGAAGUGUCUACAUGGCUGGAGUAAUACCUCAUUUGACUCUUUAUUGAAAUUAUUGAGUGAUGUUUUACCCAAAGGAAAUGUACUCCCGAAUUCUAUCUAUGAAGUUCAAAAGAUAAUUAAAGGUUUGGGUCUAGAUUAUGUGAAGAUAGAUGCAUGUGUUAAUAAUUACAUUUUAUAUAGAAAGGAAUAUGCGAAUCUUGAGCAAUGCCCUAAAUGUGGUAAAAAAAGAUAGAUGAUAAAAAAAGGAGAAGAUACUAAUGAAGAUGUUGCUUUAGGAAAUUCGAAUAAGAGAAAUAAAGGAAUUUCAAGAAAGAUUCUUAGAUAUUUUCCUAUAAUACCAAGAUUACAACGAUUGUUUAUGACAAAACGUACCGCUGAAGAUAUGAGAUGGUAUAAAAAUAAGCGAGCCGAUGAUGGAGUUUUACGACAUCCAGCUGACUCAUUGGCGUGGAAAAGUUUUGAUGAAAAGUAUCCAAGUUUUGCUUCAGAUCCACGUAAUAUAAGGCUUGGGCUUGCUUCAGAUGGAUUUAAUCCUUUUGGUUCAAUGAGUAAUGCUUAUAGCAUGUGGCCAGUAAUCUUGAUCCCAUAUAAUCUCCCCCCAUGGUUAUGUAUGAAACAAUCAAAUCUUUUGUUGUCUUUGCUUAUUCCUGGACCAAAAGGCCCUGGUAUGGAUAUUGAUGUGUAUCUCCAACCCUUGAUAGAUGAUUUGAAAAUCUUAUGGGAGAGUGGAAUUGAAACUUAUGAUGCUUUUACGAAACAAAAUUUUUUCUUGCGUGCUUUCUUGUUGUGGACAAUUAAUGACUAUCCAGCUUAUGGUAUUUUAUCCGGUUGGAGCACUAAAGGUAAAUUAGCUUGUCCGAUUUGUCAUAUACAUACUUGUUCCAUUUACUUGAAACAUGGUCGAAAGCAAUGCUAUAUGGGUCAUCGUAGGUUCUUGGAAGUAAAUCAUCCAUUUCGUCGGAAUAAAAGUUCUUUUGAUAACACAAAGGAGGAAAGACUCGCACCACAAGCUUUGAGUGGAGAUGAUGCGCUUGCACAACUUAAUACAUCCUCACAAGUGUUAGUUGACGGCAGCACAAGAAAAAGAAAACGGGAUGCUAUAAGAUAUGACAAUUGGAAGAAGAAAAGUGUAUUCUUUGAACUCCCAUAUUGGAGGACUUUAUUGUUGAGACAUAAUUUGGAUGUGAUGCAUAUAGAGAAAAACAUCAGUGAAAGUGUGAUAGGGACGUUAUUAGAUAUUGAAGGAAAACCAAAGGACACAUUAAAAUCUCGAUUGGAUUUACAAGAGUUGAAAAUUAAAAAACCCCUUCAUACAAUAAAAAAUGAGAAUAAAUACAUACUUCCUCCAGCAAGCUAUACAAUGUCUAAAACCGAGAAGAUUCAAUUUUGCCAGCUAAUCAAAGAAGUCAAGUUUCCUGAUGCUUAUGCUUCUAACAUUAGUCGUUGUGUCAAUGUUAAGGAAGCAAGAAUUUUUGGACUUAAAAGUCAUGAUCACCAUGUUCUUUUUCAACGUAUUUUUCCACCUAUAAUCAAGGGGAUUUUGCCAAAGGAUGCAUAUGAUCCAUUAGUUGAACUAUCAUUAUUCUUUAGCGAUUUGUGCGCUAAAGAGUUGCAUGUGGAAAAGUUAGAUCAACUAGAUAAAAGUAUACGGAUGACAAUUUGUAAAUUAGAGCGUGUGUUUUUGCCAACAUUCUUUGAUGUUAUGGUUCAUUUGGCAAUACAUUUGGCAAUGGAGGCAAAAUUGGGUGGUCCCGUUCAAUUUCGAUGGAUGUAUUACAUUGAAAGGUUGGAUUCUUAUUCCUCUAAACUAUUCCUUUAGCUGCCCUUUUAGUUAAAAUUUGUUGCAAAACUGAUAUAUUUUUACGUCAUAGAUUUUUGCGCACCUUGAAAAGUUAUGUACGAAAUAAAGCCCACCCAGAAGGAUCAAUUGCUGAGGGAUAUCUUGCUGAGGAAUGCAUGACAUUUUGUUCCAAAUAUUUGACUGAUAUGGAGACAAAGCAAAAUCGUCCAGAUAGAAAUUUUGAUUCUUCAAAUAUAGAACCCAAUGGCUUAUCCAUAUUUAAUUGUCGUGGUAAGCCAUUAGCAGGGGGUGCUUGGAUAAACUUGAGCACUCAUGAAAUCAAUCAAGCUCAUUUUUACAUCCUCCAAAAUUGUGAGAAAGUCAGACCUUGGAUGGAGUAAGAUACCUUUCACUUAGUUUACAUCAUUUUAUUCUUAUGAAACUCUCAGCAACUCUGUUCUAAUGUUAUUUGUUUUGAUUUUUAUUAAAUGCUCAUAAUCCAUAGGCAACACUUAGAAAUAUUAAGGAAGGAGAAUAAUAGAAAUGUUUCAAGAGGCACAAGGAGGAAUUCCCUUUGUGGUUUGAGAAAAAGGUAAAUUAUAUCAUUUGAUGCUAGUUUACUUUUGUUUAGGAUAAUUUAUAAAUUAUAUUUUUUAAGUAGUAUUAAUGUUUGUGAGUUUGUAAUUGAAAUAUUAUAGGUGGUAGAGUUAAAAGAAAAUGGUAAUGGCCGAAUUACCAAUGGAUUACUAGCUUUGGCAAGACGUCCAGACCCUCGUGCUUAUUGCCAUAGUGGAUAUAUCAUGAAUGGGUUUAGGUUUCGAACAAUGGAAUCUGAGGUAGGUUUGAAAACUCAAAAUAGUGGUGUAGUUGUGAAGAGUGAUGAACAUACAGAAAAUGUUGAUUAUUAUGGAAAGAUAAGAAAGAUUUUAGAGAUCCAAUAUUUGGACAAUAAUUCAGUCAUAUUAUUCCAAUGUGAUUGGUUUGAUGUUCCUACUCAAGGUCGUAGUCAAAGUAGAGGUUAUAAAAGGGAUGAAUAUGGAUUCAUAUGUGUAGAUGUGACACGACUCCAUUAUAAAAAUGAUCCAUUCAUUUUAGGCUCACAAGCUCAAUCUGUGUAUUAUGUUAAACAUGAUCAAAAUGAGAAUUGGCAUGCUGUGGUAAGAGUAAGACCACGGAAUUUGUAUGAUUUACCCGAACAAGAAGAUGAAACGGAGCCGUACCAACUGAUUGACUUGGUUGAAAGAGGAGAAGCAGAUCUUCAAGUAGAGUCUGACAAUGAUGUCAUUAGAAUACAAAGAGAAGACAUUGAUGGAGUGAGUGUUGAUGCACCUUCUCUGAAUAACGAGGAAGAAGUAGACUUAGAAGCUAUUGAUGAAUUUGAUCAUGAAAAUGGAGAUGACUUCAGUGCAGAUGAAGAAUAUCUUUCUGAUAAAUUUGAUGAAAUUGAGGAUGAUGAUUGGCUGUAAUUUUCAACUAGUCUUCAAGAUAAUUUUGCUUAUUUCAAAUGCUUUCUUCACAGAAGUUCUAUUUCAAUCACCUUGCCGAAAUGGUUAAUUUCUAUUUUCUAUUUCUUCAAUUUCUUUAUCAUUUUUGCUUUUAAUUGAUUUGUUUCUCUCAGUUUCUGAAAAUAUAUUGUCUCUUUCUUAAAAUUUUACUUUCGUCAGUUAGUCUCCAAUAAUAUAAUUCCUUUUAAUAUGUGUUACAGCCUAUCAUGAUGACAGAUGCGCAUGUUUCUAAUAAUGAUGGAACUACUGAUGUAAUCUCAAAUCCAUCGUCAGGUAAGUAAAUUCAUUUGUUAAAAUCGAGCCCUAUAAAAUCUCUAGCUUAUAUAUGUUAUGUUUACUAUACAUCUAAGUAUUUUCAUAUAUAGAUAAAGGUAAAAAGAGAAAAGGAAGAGGGAAGACUACAUGGCUUUCAAUCCAAAAGAAACGCAAAGAUAGUGACAAUGGAAAGUUGAAGGUGAUUAUUCCAUCAGAUCGAACUGUAGCAGUAGGUCCUGGAGCUAAUGAUUUCGUUACCGAGCUCUCUGUUAAAGUUAUGCAUAAUGCUAGGCAUGAUGUCAAGAAUUGGAAGGAAGUUCCUGAUAUUGCAAAAGAUAGGAUUUGUGCCCAUAUGCUGGUAAUUCACUAUGUUCCCUUAGAAUUUUCUUGCUGGUCCAAUACACAUAAGAAAAUUCUCAAUAUAAGUAUACAAAUAAAGUAUACUGAUAAACCAACUUUAGAAAAGAUGACUCCGAACAUCCCUUGGUUCAUUGGCAGAAAAUUGAAAUUCUAUUUUAAGUAAGCUCACUUUAGUUUUUUUUUUGAAUUCAGGACACCUUCCAACUUCCAGACACACAACACAAUCGGGAUACUAUCCUUAAAACAGCUAAUAAUUUAUAUAGAUAUCGUCGUAGUAGGCUCAAUGAUCAUUUCAAGAAAUAUGCUACAAAGGAGGAUUGCUUGCAGAACAUGCCACCCGAUGUUAAUGAAGCUGAAUGGAGAUUCCUGGUUGAAUAUUUCGAUUCUGAUACUUUUAAGGUAAUUAAUUAGGAUACGCCAAAAUUAAAUUGAUUUAACAUUGCAAAUUAUUUAUUUUCUUGUUCUACUUCUUAUAGUUCAUCAAGAAAUAUAUUUACGAAUUCAAUUUAAUAUAGAGAAUGAGUGAGCAAAACAAAACCAAUAAGGGAAAACAAGAAAUGAAUCAUAUUUGCGGCAGAAAAUCCUUCCAGGCGGUAUCUUUUGAACAGGUAACAUAUGUCUUUAUUUUGAUGAAUUUUAGUUAUUUUUUAUUUAAUAACAUAAUUUGAUUGGUUUUAGUAGAGAAAUACAAGCACCGGAAAAGAGCCAAACUUGCAAAAACUUUGGGAAUUGACUCACAUGAAGAACGGACAUUGGAUUAAUGAUGCCUCUGCGGAAUUAAAUAUACGUGCGAAACUCUUAUCCUUAUUCCUAGAAUGUGAGUCCAUAGAAAUAAAUAUUGAAAGUUAGAGCCGGUAUAAAAAAUUUUGUAGGAUAAGGUGAAAGAAUAUGUUGCUGAACAAAUUCAAGAAAUUGAAGAGGAUACUGAUUUGGACUUGGUUGUUAAUGCUGCAUUUGUGAAAUUUGUUGGAGAAACAUCAAGUUAUUGCCGUGGUCAAGGAUCAGGAGUUAAGUCAACAAGUAGGAAAUCCAUGAAUGGAAUUCAAGAGAAACUGCAAGCACAACAAAAAGAGGUGGAAGAAGAACGUCGUAAAAGAGAGAGUGUAGAAUGCCAGCUAAAGGAAGUAAAGAUUCAGCUUGAGGAGGAGCGGAAAAGUCGAGAAGCCAUGGUGCGUGACCAAAAACUAUUGAAACAGAGCAUGAUGGCACUAGCAUCCCAUUUGCUAAGUAAUGAGGUAUUUCAAUUACUUGCUUUUGAUCCUAAGAAUAUUUCGCUCAAACUAAACAACAGUUAAAGUGAUAGCAUCACUUUAUGUGUUAAAGUCGUCACACAAAUAUAAAAUUCAUGUGUAAAAACUCAGUAUUAGACCUUGAAAUCAGCAAAAAUGUGAUGAGGAUAUGAUUGCAAGCCGGCACUUGUGCCAAAAGUUAGCACUAUUAUUUGCAUUGCUACUUUUACAGAGAAUAGUUUUUCAAACGAGUGGUAUAAAGCAAUAGAUUAUGAGAGGUAUUGCCUACAUGAUGAAUAACUCAGUAAAGGGGAAAAAAGAAAGAGGUCAGUUUUGGUUAUAAGUUUGUGAGUUUUAGAUUCACAAUCUUUUUAAUUUAUGUCCAUCUUCAACCAAUGAAAGUGAAGAUAUUGAGAAGUCUAUUCGGUUGGCUAAAUUGGAAAAUGCUGUAGGAGAUUCUAGGCAAAUUCUCUAUAAAGGGGACUCAAGAAAUCAGAAAGGUACUGUAUUUCUUAAAAAGAUUAUUCCGGCGAAUGAUUCUACACGCUCUGUGAGUGGGGGAAUAAAGAGCACAUAGCACCAAGAGGUUCCCAGCUCUGUAAAGGUUGAGGUUCACCAGCAGUAAAUGCAGAAUUAAACAAAAAGACAGAGAAAAUAAAAUACUUUGAUUACGGAAAAGAAGUUAUUAAAACAACCGAAUACAUAAAUUUCUCUUGUCGCACAAUCUCUGUUUCUUUCUUGUUCAUGUAUCAUUCCUCCCCACAGAUUUGUACGACAAAUUAAGUUAUGUAGUUUUACUAUGUUUAACAGAAUGGAGUUUCUGCUGGAAUUCUCAAUAUUAUUUCUAAUUUAAGUGGUUCAAAUGAGUCAAGUUGUUCAAGACUUAUGGAUGACAUAACGGUAAGAAAACUUCGUCUAACUCUUGUAAAAGUAAAUUCCUUGGUUGAUAUUAUUCACUAUCAUGUUUGCAUUAUAUUUCAAUCUAGUAUCUUGUCGUCGCCGCCACCACCAUUCAUAUCAUGAACUUAGCCUUCAGGUCUCACAAAUAAAUUAGUUGUUGGCUUUGUAAAAGUCACCUUUGGCUUUGUCUCAAACGCCACCUUUAUAUACAAAUUAAAAGGCAGUUGAAGAUUGAAUGUUAAAUUAUUUUGCAGAUAGAAAUGAUUCUCUAUAGGGUGGCUUUGUGGUCCCUGAGUAGAAUUUACACUGAUUAAUUUCCUUGAAGGUAGGAAUAUUUUCUUUAAUUAAAUUGGAUUACUAGGUUCAGAAAUUGAAUCCAAAGUGGAAAAAGAAGGAUUAGAUUUGUUAUUCUGAAUUGAUUAUGGUAGUUUAGAAGAAGACUUACCCCUGCAAAUGUCUAAAAUGUCAUUAAUCAUUAUCUUCUUCCAUUAUUUAUUAAUUUUCAUUUAACUAAGUUCAAAAAGGAAAGUUGCUUGAUCUUGGACAUUUGAAAGGUGAUGUGCGAGUUCUUUGGCUUUAUAGUUCUCUGUUGCAAUUUUUUUUUGAGGUUGUCCAUUUUUAUUUUUUUUAUGAGUUCUUGUUUACUGCUAUUAUUACAGCUUUCGGCAACACAAUUAACAUAAAAAAUUGUUGUAUAUGAAACUCCCUUGACCAAAAGGAGUUUACUGAUCUCAAAAGUCUUCUAUUAUCUUAAAAUUCAAGUUAUCUUUUCCUUUAGAUUCUAAACAUCAAUUAAUUAUAAUAACUAUCAUAAUAGUAUGUUCUGAUUAUUAGUAGAAGCAUAUAAAAUUCAUAUGCAACUAUAUUUUGUCCAUCAUGCUUAAUUUUGCUCCAAUCUAGUCACCAAUAUAUAUAUAUAUCAUUCAUUGGCGCCCGAAUUCUCUCUUAAGCUCCUAUAAUGUCUUCGGGAUCAAGUAAUUAUACGAAACAUUUCUUGCCUAACCGCUCAUAUGCCACCUCCUUUGGUAUUCAUCUUCUCAUCUUGCUUGUGUUUUUCUUUUUUUCUCUUACUAGCUUUAGCACUAUUUUUGUCAUGUUGAUUUAGUAUUAUUACUAAAUUCGCUCAUCUAUUUAUCAUUUAUUGCGUCUGUUGCUAGCCUUUUGUUCAAUGUCGCUACGAUCAUUGGUGUGUCUUAUUCUUAGUUUUUCCUAAUUUGGUUGACACGGAUAUGAAUGUCAUGGUAGUUUUUUUUCCUCCUUUUAUCUACCCAUCAAUAAAUUAUAUAUUUAUAUACAAAGAUAUGAUCAAUCUUUAACAAGUUGAGUAAAGAAGGCAUGAAAAUAUUCCUAGAGCUUCUUAUAGUUGCGACCUUCCCUUUCGUGAGAUUUACAUCUAAAUAUUUUAUUUGACUUUCAGGAGAAUUUGUAUCUUAAUAGAAUUUUGGCUGGACUUUUAUAAGAGUUUGUUAAUUCUGGAGGUUAUAAAUAGGAAAAUCAUCAGAUAAAAAAUAUGGGAAAAGCAGAAAUUUAGUGGGUAAGUAUGUCGGAAAAGGAUGUGUAACUGGCGGCCUGAUGGUAUAAAGAUAGUGAAGAGAUCAAAGUACGAGAUGGAUAUAAACUAUAAUUUUUUUGAGCCUCUGAGGAGGAGGUUAUUAAAAUGAAGCAGAUCUGUAGUUCGAAUGAAUUGGAGAAGCAAAGUGUUGUCUAUUUUAAAGUCAAUCUUGGAUCAGUUUAUUGAUAAAUUAGUUAGGAUUUUCGUGGAGAUCACAACUUUUCGUGGAGCCUUUAGUGAUCUUUCUGAUCGUUAAUUAUCAUUGGUAAAAUAAUUUCAACUUGCCUAUAACCUUUUCUGGAUGGAGUUCAAGGAAAAGGUUUGGAACAUUGGCAGUUUCAAACACCUAUAAGAAGUGUCAAUGGUGAAGGAGAAUAUAAGAAGUGUCAAUGGUGAAGGAGAAUAUAAGAAGUGUCAAUGGUGAAGGAGAAGAAGAAGUUAGGUUGUCGAAGAAAGUCUCAGUCAUUUGUAGUCACAAAAGUGGAUUUCUUUUGGUCCUGUCUUUCACAUUUUUCUUUUUUUGUAAAUUUUCUAUUCCUUUCUUUCAGAUUUUGGCAUGAUCUCCGUGUUUGGUUUUCGUUAACACAUCUGACAUUACAUUUUAACUUCUUUUAUUCAAGAUUCCAAAAUUUAUCUUCAUAUUAGAAUGAUGCAACAUGUGUGACACAAAGCACUCUUGAAGUAGUAAAUAAGUACUUAUAUGGAGGAAAAACUAUCAACUUUAAUAUAAACCUUAUGCCAAAAAAGAAGAUAAUUUAAAGGUGAAGAAGUACGCGUAAUUCUCUUAGGAGUAAGGAAAUGAAAUUUUCUUGAAACUUCUUUUAAAAAGAUCAAAGAGUUAAUUGAUUCAGAAAAUAUGUAUAUUUGGAAUCUGAUUCAUUUAUAGAACUAUAUAUAUUACGUCCGUAUGCACACAUAUAAUAUAUAUAAAAAAUUUAUCCUCUUUAACUCAGUUAAUUUUGUAAAAAAAAUUAUAUUAAGUAUAUUACUCCUAUCUCUUAUGACCGCGCGAAGCGCGGAUAUACUAACUAGUUAUUAUAUAAUCGCUAAUACAAGAUCCCGGUAUAUAUACUACGGAUAAAGGUUAGGUUUCAAUAGUCCAAGGAACUGUAUUAUUACUUCACUUCUGCUAUACUCUCUAAAGAAAGGUGCUACAUUUCUUUAUUUUUAUGCGAAUUUUUGAGGGCUUCCCAUGUGGGCUUCAAACUACGGGGAGUUUAGGCUCACCCCACUACCUCUCUCCCAACUAAAAUACCAGGUUUUGUUUGCGGUAGUUUUUGAACCGUGAGACAUGUGCCUUGCUUACACGUCACGUGCUUUGUCCUUACCACUGAACCAAAACCCCGAGAGCUAAGAAGAGGCUAUAUUUGUUGAGUUGAAUAAAUAGUUGUCACGACCCAAGCUAACCCCUGUCGUGAUGGCACCUAUCGUGGAACUAGGCAAGCCGACUCAUUUCCAAAACAAAUCGAUAUUUUCAUUUCAAAGAUAAUUUCAAUGUUAUUUAACAUAAAAACCUUCGUAAAGGAGUUCCAAUCAAAAUAAAAGUGCGGAAAGAAAAGCCCGGCAUCGGGGUGCUGUCACACCUCCUUUUUUCCGAGGGGGAUAGGGAGUUUUUCCAAUUUAAGUGACAUUAUUCGAAAUAAGAUUAUUUAUUCAAUUAGAGUCACCANNNNNNNNNNNNNNNNNNNNNNNNNNNNNNNNNNNNNNNNNNNNNNNNNNNNNNNNNNNNNNNNNNNNNNNNNNNNNNNNNNNNNNNNNNNNNNNNNNNNNNNNNNNNNNNNNNNNNNNNNNNNNNNNNNNNNNNNNNNNNNNNNNNNNNNNNNNNNNNNNNNNNNNCACCGGUUUAUUUUAAAUCCCAAAUCGAGGAAAUUUGACUCUUAUUUAUGGUCCGCGAACACAGAAGACCGGGUAAGAAAUUCUAUUAACCCGGGAGAAGAUGUGAGGCUCUCCCGAGUUCCGUGGUUUUAGCACGGCCGCUUCAACUAUUAUUAAUUUGCCUAAUUAUAUGAUUUGUUAUAUAUUUAAAACCUAUUUUGUAUUUUUACUUUUAGCCGCUUUUAAUUAUUUAUGGAAUUAUUUCUCGAACAAGUCACGAUGCCGUACACUUGUCGUUUUGGCACACGUCGCAAACCGCGCCACAUGAAAUGCACCCGCGAUUUACGACAUGCUUAUUUUUAUUAUUGUUAGAAGUUAUGGUCGGGUCACAUGAAAUGCACACCCGAAUGGAAUUUACGUAUCGUGACCAUGCCACGGGAACCAUACCUAUGGCCACGAUGAUUUAUUAAUCGCGCUUAAAGCAAACUACGCCGUUCAUGAUUAUCGUCCUAAACUAAUUUUGAGAUUGCUGUAAGGCCGGGAUUUAUGGAAUUAUGGAAUUUAAACUUGGAUGGAAUUUGAUGUAUUAAGACUAAUUUGAUAGAUUCCAACAUACUGCAGUAUUUGCGAAGGAAAGGUCUCCUAAAGAAUCUAAGUCAAUUACUUCCUUAAGCUCUUUCUUUACUAACGCUUAACUCCAAUCACUAAAAUUAAUAAAACUCAUGAGUUAAAAGAAAUCCAUCAACAUAAAUACGUAAAUUCACAACCUCAAACAUUCGUCAAAGUAUUUUUGGGAUAAAUUAAAAUACCAAAAAGAACAAUGAAACAGUAAAGGAAAAUUAUCGAAAAUCAAGACAACGGACCAACCAAAACGAGUAUAACAAUAUAACCCAAAACAUUGUCAAAACCAUAUCCUGAGAGAAAUGAAUAUAUGAAAUAACAAGCAAAAGAACAUAAUCACUCAGAAACCAAACUUAUUCGUAUUAGGCGAGUUAAAUCAAAUCAACAAUUUAUUUCAACUAAUUUUUAUGCAGAAUAUACAUGCGUGAAACCCCAUUUCAGAACGACCAUAAUUCCAGGCGUGAAAAAAAAAAACAAGAAAGAGAUAUGAACCUGAAUAUGCAGAAUUUCAAUUAAUUUUAUGUCCAGAAAUGAGACGUGCGAGUACAAAACCGAAUGCUCAGAAUACAAUUAUGAUUCAGCAACAGGGGCCGGAAUCCAGAAACUCGAUCGGCAAAUUAACCUUAGCUCAGCUAAAUCUCCAUCUCAAACAAAACCCUGAAGCAAGAAACAGAUUUUUUUUUCUUUUUUCGAAAUACAAGAAAACAACCAAAUCUAAACUGAAAUUUUCGCACUCCCUNNN
RNAcentral lists this long non-coding RNA (15483 nucleotides) under Nicotiana tabacum (common tobacco). Its description in RNAcentral is "long non-coding RNA (NTAB_LNC000307)". Lineage: Eukaryota; Viridiplantae; Streptophyta; Magnoliopsida; Solanales; Solanaceae. The record is from RNAcentral.